Long non-coding RNA from Balaenoptera acutorostrata (minke whale), 711 nucleotides. RefSeq lists it as uncharacterized. NCBI's taxonomy places the organism in Eukaryota, Metazoa, Chordata, Mammalia, Artiodactyla, Balaenopteridae. The transcript has 3 exons. The record is from RefSeq and is a predicted model, not a curated record.
CAGCCUCUCCUUCUGGGGGCUCCGGAGCAGGCAGCUGUCUUCCCCUUCACGCACUCCAGCUGCCCCUAGAAGGAAGCAGAGGGACGGCGACAAGUGGCCAGUGUGGUUUUCCCCCUUUCUCCCUGGGUUCUGGCCCCUGAGGUCUGCUCCAGGCCCUCCAAUAAGCCCGUCUCUCUCCUGCCGUAAGGCCUUUGCUCGUGCUGUCCCCACGGCCUGUGGCCCAGCCCCCGACCUCUGACCUGUUGGUUCCUUCAUUCUUCGGAGAGCCGCUGAAGCUCCACACUGCAGAGGGCCCCGGAUCUGCUUGAAUCAGUGGCCUAAUGUGUAGCUGGCGUUUCCCAAACAUGGACGGAUUCCCCUUGGCUGCAGAGCCAAGUAAGUGAUUUCUGCGACUGGAAGAAAAUGAGGACUCAAAAUAGGUAGGUGCCAACUGCAAGCUGCGGGGGAAGAAAAGAAGAAAUGAAUAAAAAAGUGAAGGGAAGGGGCUUCCCUGGUGGCGCAGUGGUUGAGAGUCUGCCUGCUAAUGCAGGGGACACGGGUUCGAGCCCUGGUCUGGGAGGAUCCCGCAUGCCGCGGAGCAACUGGGCCCGUGAGCCACAGCUGCUGAGCCUGCGCGUCUGGAGCCUGUGCUCCGCAACGAGAGAGGCCGCGAUAGUGAGAGGACCGCACACUGUGAUGAAGAGUGGUCCCCGCUCACCGCAACUGGAGAAA